AGGAAUUAGACAUGCCACAAAGAACUCGCCAUGAGAAAGAUGUCUUGGGUAUAGUGAACACGCUUCAGAAUAUGAUAUUAUCCUUUUGAAACGGAUAAUGAUAUAACAGAAAUGAUUCACUUGUCAAGUGGUUUAGUUCACAAGAAGUAAAGAAUGACUUACUAACAACGAAACAACGAGGAGAAGAAUGCGUGACUGCUUUUCUAAGAGACAGAUUACUAGUUCGAAAGCCUGAUAUUUUUUUCAGUAACGAUUCCCAAGCCAGUUAGUUAAGCAAAAGGUGUUGAAGCCACCCUUAAGAAUGACCGUAACCUAUUCGCUCGAAUGCUCUUGCUGGCACAAAGUAGAAAUGUUGACAUGAAGGAAGUUCUAACUUAUUCCUUGGGUCCAUUUCCUUUAUCUCUUUCAACCGGGAUGGGCACUUUGCACAAAACCCAGAAAAGCAAGUUGAUGACAUCAAUUGAGUCAAGUGCUCAAGAUCACAUAGUUGACAAUGUUCCGGCUGGAGUACAUACGCAUCAUUUAUGUUUAGCGGUAUUACAAGUAUUGAAGGUGCACCUCUCACGAUUCGAGAAAUAGCGGCAUUAUCUUGUGAUCAUGCAAAUCACAUGCAAAUCAUGUGUUUCAAUCAUAUGGAAACAUUUUGAUAAAGAGCCCCGAUACAGUCGUCUUCAUUAUUAUGCUUUACUUUUGCCAUAUACUCCAAUGCGAAUUGUUCUUUGAGACCGGUAUGAAUGAGAAAACUCGUAUCAUAAAUGUACGAUGUGUUCAGCAGCAGAUUGGUGUGAAAGAAGGCAAAGCGUUAGUUGGAUUUCAUGCAUAUGCCGGGGGUGUGAUUCCACUAGCUCGUUUUAUGGUCGAAGUAAAAUAUCAACCUGGAAAUUGGUUUCCAAUGACGAAACAGCUCUUGAUACACUUGCUCGCCUAGGAAAUGAUUUUACAGUAGAUGAUCGCAUCCAGAAAAGCAUCGAGUCAUUGACAUGUAUGCUAUAUGGGGCUAAGGAGACCAAAUCUGUCAACGAAGCAAGGUAUAAUUCAUUCAGAAUGGGCAAAUUCUCUGAUGAAUCCUUGCCUCCAAACGAGGACUGUCUUCUACAGCACAUCCAACGGGCAAAUUACCAGUCAGCAGUAUGGAAAAGGGCAACAACUCAGAUCAUUGAUGCGCCUUCACCUACUGUUUAUGGAUGGAAAAUUGAUGAGGAGGGAAAUAUUGAUGUGGUGUGGAUGACGAAGGAAUGUGCCCCAGAUGUGCUACUCAACAAAGAUUGCAAUUGUAAAUGUAAGGCAGGGUGUUCAACCUUAAGAUGUUCUUGUAAAAAGUCAAACAACAAGUGCAAUGAAAUUUGCCAGUGCGUUGGGUGCACAAAUUGCCCGAACGCACCGAGCGAAAGCUUUGAAGAUGAUUCGGAGGAUGAUUUGGGAAGUGAUUUGACCAAAUUUUUGUCGUGAUUUGAUUUCGUUUCCCAGCCAUGUUUUAGCCGUUCUAAAAUAUUUCCACAUUUUAUCAACUGUACUAACUUGAAUGUGAAGCUAAUUGUCACAAUUGCCGUAUAAAAAGCGUUAUUCUGGGCAAUCAUCCAUAUUUUCUGAUUCGAUUGUUUAUGCGCCUACAUUUCGUGAGUACGUCGUAUUACUUCAAGUAACGAAGUCGAAAGUUCAAAGAUACCGAAAAAUUCAAAAUGGCGCUCAGUUGAUGAAAAUAGCGGACUUUGGCCGGUAUCAUGAAAUGAUGAAAAAGCUGCGUGGUUUGACGUGUGGGAACAAACAUAUUUGAAAUCAGCAUAUUUCAUUUACCUAAUUGCCGAUUAAAUAUGUUAGCACCGCGGUAGGGGCGACGGAAUUCGAUUUCUAGCCUUAUAAAGGAAAUCUGCUCUGAGCUUCGGGUGAAGAAGAUGUGAUUGGUCAUAGGCAGCCCAAUGGCGAAUGGUUUUAUUUG
Long non-coding RNA from Dendronephthya gigantea, 1936 nucleotides. RefSeq lists it as uncharacterized. NCBI's taxonomy places the organism in Eukaryota, Metazoa, Cnidaria, Anthozoa, Malacalcyonacea, Nephtheidae. The record is from RefSeq and is a predicted model, not a curated record. The transcript has 3 exons.